GCUCUCUAUUCUGUUUUAUCUAAAUUCUACCUUUUACUCAAAAAAAAAAAAACUCACGCUUCUCAAUUCUCACAGGCAUCAAUCCCUAAUUUGGUAUUUUCUCGGCAUAGCUUGAUCAAUGGCUCAAAUCUCUCUCUCUCCAUAUCAAUGCAAACGCCCUAAUUUGGUAUCUGACGCCUUACCAUAGGAGCCUUCAUGGUAUGCCAGCUCUUCUCUGACGCCCUACCAUAUAUGCGCCUCUCUUCCCCUCCCAAAUCUAGAAUCAUAAGUCGUCGCCGCCAGCUCCGUCUCCUUCAGUCGCUGCCGCCGCCGGCUGUAGCUCACCAGGGAACGCCGCGCAGCUAUUCUUCUUCGCGAAAAAUUUCUCCCUCAAGCUGCUGCUUCUUCUUCUUCUUCAUUUCUCGUCGGCGCUUUUGAUCGUUAAACACACUACGUCAUGUCCGCCGCCGCGAGAACAGUCUUCCGUUCCGCCUCUACAUCCGCUCGCAGUGCCACGGCGAGACUAUCCACCUCCAUUUUCAGGUCUCCUGUAGAGACGAGCAGUUUUAGCGAUGCUUCGAUUUCGCCACACCGCAGUCAAUUCGGAAAUGUAGAUGGAAGAAAUUUCUCAACGAAGACGAGGAGAUUUCGAUUUCAGCGCAGAAUCGAUCUGAAACGAAGCACUUCAGCCACUGGAAUCGUGGAAAGGAUAGAGUACGAUCCUAAUCGAACUUCUCGGAUUGCUCUCAAACAUGUUUGGUUCCGAUCCAGGAUCGCAGCAGAUGAUGUGGUUAGCAACUAAGCACCAAUUGCAUAGUAGUUUCUUCAAGCCAGUUAAAUAUGUCAGGGAAAUGCUUGUAUGUCAAGAAUGAAACCACCGGAGACGAACUCACUUUGUGCGGCUAAGCUCUUCGUGUUCUCAAAUGGGAAACAAAAGUUUCUGGAAGCGCAUUGUUUGGAGCAGUAGUGAUCAGAUGAUUUGGAGCAUCAAAUUUCUGUUAUCAACAGUAAGGCGGUCAAUAGGCAGCUUAAGUCCUUGUACAGUGUCCCACCACCAAAGUAGAAGCAGCCGGCCAAGCGACCGACGACCACGUGAAACUGAGAUUAGCUUUCUUUUUAUUUUCAAGAAUUUGAUCAAACAAGUUUAAAGUUCCUCAAAAUAACUGAGAAAUGAAAAAGUAAUGAAUACUUGUGUUGCAUGAUCCGAUUAUUAUUACACAUUGUUUUCUGGUUAUUUGUGUAAUAAUACUUGAUUCAUUUGACUAUAUUAGUUCAAUUUUCUUUUUGUGGAA
This is an RNA transcript of Salvia miltiorrhiza (redroot sage), 1271 nucleotides long. RefSeq lists it as uncharacterized. Lineage: Eukaryota; Viridiplantae; Streptophyta; Magnoliopsida; Lamiales; Lamiaceae. The record is from RefSeq and is a predicted model, not a curated record. The transcript has 4 exons.